This 432-nucleotide ribosomal RNA is filed under the name uncultured marine bacterium. Its description in RNAcentral is "bacterial SSU rRNA". It matches the Rfam family "Bacterial small subunit ribosomal RNA", at positions 360 to 804 of the family's 1533-position model. The record is from RNAcentral.
AAUAGUGGACAAUGGUCGCAAGCCGGAGCCAGCAAUACCAGGGUGUGCGGCAGUCGGGAUGUAAGUAAUGCACUUUCAGGGGGGAAUAAGGUUCGAGAUUAAUGCCCUCGGGUGUCGACGUUAUCUACAGAAGAAGCACCGGCCAACUUCGUACCAGCAGCCGUAGUAAUAAGAGGGAAGGAUUGUUAAGAAGAAUUUUGUGAAAAACGCAAGCAGGUCCUAUAACCAUGUCUGUGAAAUCCCCCUCAUCACAUGCGAAUGGAAGAUAAUGGGCCCUGGAAAACGGUAGAAAGGGAAAGAAAAUUUGCGUAACGGUGGAAAAGUAGAUAUCUCAGAAACACACCGGCGAAGGUGGCGGCCUGGUCCGACUCUGACGCUCAUGUGGAAAGCGUGGGGAGCAAACAGGAUUCAUACACGGUAGUCCAUGCCGUA